AGGAACCCAGUACUAUGGUGCUAGUACUAGAUUUGUCUGUUUUUCAGGUCCUCCUACUCGUUCUGCUUAUAGCAUCACCAAAUCCCCUUGUAAGCAGGGGAAACCAUUUGAUUGAAUGUUUAGCUCUGCUCUCUUUGCCUGUGGGGAGGAGCAAGUGUCAGCUGUGGUGCAAAGGGGCCAGGGGAUGAACGUGAGCUUUUGCCGGCCGUCGAACAGGAUCAUGAAGAAGAGGAUUGUGGUGAGGAUCCACAGAGUGACGGCCACAAACAUCACCCAGCCAUAUGCUGGCAGCAAAGUGUAGGGGGCACCGGCUAUCAACGCCCACUGGAGCAGCCCCAGAA
Molecule: long non-coding RNA, 341 nt
Organism: Etheostoma cragini (Arkansas darter)
Lineage: Eukaryota; Metazoa; Chordata; Actinopteri; Perciformes; Percidae
Exons: 3
Source: RefSeq, a predicted model, not a curated record